GGCUGCUGGGAAGUUGGGUCCUGAUCUCGUUAACUUGUAACUGCCCUUGGGGAACCCGCGCCUGCCCGUCUGGAGAUGGGCUUGCUGCUUCUCGGUUGCGGAUUCGCGCCUUACUCGAGCAGCCUUUGAGGGGCUUUUGGACAAGCCGAGAGAGAACUGCUCAACUUGUUGCACAAAUCAUUCCCAAACACGAGACCAGAGCCGGAUGUGGUGAACAGAGAGGUUUAAUACACCGGUGGGCGAGAGAUCUGGAUCUCCAGGAAGUUGUCUGCCCCAGGACAGAGAAGCAGCACUGUUCACACAGAGUUUGCAUCUUGGUUCCAUAGAGAUUGCAGACACCGCACGCUGCAGGCACAUGGUCUUGGCCCUGGUACUCUUGGAUCGGGGGUCUUGUCUCCUCCGCUAGGCUGGGUUCCGCCCUGGCUGUCCCGCUUAGGAAGGUGGAGGGAGGAGGUAAGGCAGCUGCAGUCACUGAUGGCUGUGAGGCCCAGCAGGCACAGAGGAAAGACAGACUUAGGCUGUAUGUCCCUACAUCACAGAGGAAAUACAGAUCUCCAACAGACAUAUAGAUUAAAAUACCUACAUAGGGUGAAUCAGGAGAGUGUGCACUCUGUGCUCAUCUAUUUUCAAGCUCUUGUGUGUGUGUGUGGGGGGCGGCUGAACCUGGAACUUUGGAGCCUCAGGCAUGAGAGUCUGUUUGCAUGACCAAUAUGCUAUCUACCCCUCCCCUAUUUUUAAUUUCUGUUAGUGAUUUAAUAUUCAUUUACAAAACGACAGGAUAACGUACAAUUCCACACUGUCCCCACCAUCAGAGUUCCAUAUCCCCAGUCCUUCCAUUGGAAGUUACAGCAGUUAUCCUAAGGCUGCAGAUGUGGGUUAAUAUUAUUUCUACAAUCAUCUGUCUAUAUAUUUGCCCUUUUAUCCCCCAUGGUACCAUCUUCUCUUCCUUUCCAAGUCACACUAUACCCACUACUGCAUCCAAAUGUCCCUCUUUCCUUUUCUCUCUCCAGAUCCUGAUGGAGUUGGAGUUCAGAACCCUCUGGUCAUCUUCCCCUAACAUUUCUCACCCUCUGUGAGUGUGAACCAAAAAAUUUUCAAUUAAAAAUAGUUUUUUUAUUUAUAAAAAGGAAAUAUUGACAAAGCCAUAGGAUAAGAGGGAUACAACUUGGCACAAUUCCCACCACCAGACCUCUGUAUCCCAUCCCUUCCCCUGAUAGCUUUCCUAUUCUUUAACUCUCUGGGAGAGUCUGUUUUUCUUUUCUUUCUUGUGAAAAAAUAAUAUUUAUCUCCAUAUCCAAUCCCCUCCCUUGAAAGAUUUCCUAUUCUUUGUCCCUCUGGGAGUAUGGACCCAAGGACAUUAUGGGGUUCAGGAGGUGGAAGGUCUGUCUUCUGUAAUUGCUUCCUCACUGAACAUGGGCAUUGGCAGGUGGAUCCAUGCUCCCAGCCUGUCUCUCUCUUUACCUAGUGGGGUGGGGCUUUGGGGAAGCAGGGUCCCAGGACAUAUUGGUGGGGUCAUCUGUCCAGGCAAGUCAGGUUGGCAUCAUGAUAGUGUCUGGAACCUGGUGGCUGAAAAAGAAUUAAGAUAUAAGGCGGAACAAAUUGUUGACUAAUCGUGAACCUAAAGACAAGAAUAUUGCAGAUGAAGAUUUUGGGUCUCCUCUUUGGAAAAAGCUAGUAAGUCUAUUUUAGCUAUAUUCCAAGGGGCCCAUGACCUUACUAGUUUUUGUCUGAGCUUUACAUCUAACAUGCAGGUGACCUAAGUUAUUGUCUGGGGAGAUGGUGACAUAGUUGGAAAGGAAAGAACUAGAAAGCUGGAUCAGGGAAGAGAGUAGCUCCCAAGUAUGGGAAAAGUAUAUAAAUGUUGUUAACUGUAAACCCCAUAGAUUUGAUCUGAGGCCCAUAGUCAGCACAGGAACCUCUGUAACCUCUGCAUCCCUGCAGGUCUGAGCUGGCAUUCUGUGGUCAUGGCUAGCAACAUUCCAGGCUGCACUAAUUUCAGGACCCAUCAUCCUUGGGUGAAAGGUAGAGUAUGUUAUCCAAACUCCCGUUGGAGAAUGGAACAUUCCCUACCCUUGCUUAUCCACAUUGAGGGCAAGGUCCUAUGGGGCUCACAAAGGGGUCCAUUAUGUUGUUCCUGAUGGAGAUGACCAGUGACAGUGGUGAGAUAGAUCCACUAGAGGUCUAGGCCCACUGUGUGGGAACCCCUGGGCUCCCUGGCCAGGGCCCCAGGUGAUGGGAUGACCUGAUAGUGACUAAAGAGUCAUUAUUAAAGUUUUCCAGUCUUUUGCCCAUGUACAGCUUUUGUAGUCCUUAUUUUGUAUGACAAGGUUAGUUUUGGAGUGAUUAAGGGACAUGGAAUAGGAUGUAGAUGAAGAAGGUAUCUAGGUCUAAGAAACUAUUUCAUUAGGGACACUUUGAUGUCUUUUUACGUCUUUCUGCUUGCUUGCUACAUCUGUUGACUCACUGCAAACUAUUGUGCGCUUUUGCUUUAAGGUUUUCCCCUAACUUACGGAUACAUGUACAUAUGCCCUAUCUGAUGAGUCCUGGUCUAUAUCUAGGUUUUGAGGUUAAGAAGUGGACCACCUGAAAUGGAAUUAAGGAGUCCUGUGAGCUAGGAAAGUCUCACCAGAGUAAUGAAGCUGAAGAGUUGACAUUCCACACCUGACGUCUCUGGUUGCAGUCUGAAAUGAUACAUGCUGAGGUGGUACUGGUUGCAUUGAUUGGGUUGAGAUAAGCAGAUGCAGUAUCCAAGGGAUGGGAUUGUAUAUGGAGUUCUGGUGGUGGGAAUUAUACGGAAAUGUACCCCUCUUAUCCUAUGGUCUUGUCAAUACUUCCAUUUUAUAAAUAAAUAAAUAAAUAAAAUAUCUUUGGUCCAUACACCUAGAGGGAUAAAUAAUAGGAAAACUUCCAAUAGAGAGAAGGGGAUAUGGAACUCUAGUGGUGAGAAUUUGGAAUUGUAUCCCUCUUAUCUCACAAUCUUGUCAAUGAUUAUUAAAUAACUAAUUAAAAAAAAAACUUUAAAAAGGGGGUCGGGCGGUAUAAGUGCAUGAGGACUGGCGUAAGGACUGGCAUUACUGGUUCAAGCCCCCAGCUCCCCACCUGCAGGGGGGUUGCUUCACAGGCAGUGAAGCAGGUCUGCAGGUGUCUGUCUUUCUCUUCCCCUCCUCUCUCCAUUUCUCUCUGUCCUAUCCAAGGAUGCCGACAUCAAUAACAACAGUAAUAACUAGAACAAUAAAACAACAAGGGCAUUAAAAGUUUUAAAAAAAACAUAAAAAUUAAUAUUUACUUAUUUUGGACAGAGAUAGCUGAGGGGAAGGUGGACAUAGGGAGAGAAAGAGAAACACCUGCAGACCUACUUCACUACUUGUGAGGCUCUUUUUUUUCCUUUUUUUUUUGGAGGUGGGGACCAGGAACUUAAAGCCUGGUCUUUGUGCAUGGUAAUAUGUGUGCUAUCAGCCUCUUCCUCCUCCUCCUUUUUCUUUUCUUUCUUCUUCUUUUUUAAAAUUUAACCAGAACACUGCUUGGUUCCAGCUUAUGCUAAUGCCAGGGUUUGAACCUGAGUCUCAAAACCUCAGGUACUAAAGUUGUUCAUACAACCAUUAUGUUAUCCCUCUGACCCUGAGACUUAGGCUUUUUCCAAAUUGUAGCUUCACCAUUUUCUUAGGUCUCAGGAUGUCCUGUUGGUUGCUCUGCAUGGUAGAAGUAGAGGAGAGAAGACAGUGUACUAGAACACAGAAGACUGCAGCAGGUCAGGAUUGAUAGGGUGCUCAUGAUUUAGCCCCAUUUACGGACGCAUCUAACUGAAUACAGGUGGAGAAAGUAUCUCAGCCAUGGAACCAGGAGAAAAAGAAAUAGAUCUUCGUACAUACAGAUCAUUCUAACCAGGGAUAAGCAACCAGUCCUAGUGCCUUCCCCGCACCCCCAGAAGCUCUGAGCAAUGUCUCAUUUUCAAACUAGUUUGAGAACUAGAGUCUUAGUAUCAUCAUGUAAUUAGCCUCAUCUGCCUAGUUUAUUGCGUUGCCACAGUCAAGCUUUGCUUCCCUACCACCUCAGCCUCCCUACAGUGAUCACAUUAGUCACGAGGAUGCCACCUGCAUUAGUCAUGGGCCAGAGGUCCCCUGUUCAUGACUAGUGGCCUAGGAAUUAAUGCUGUGGUCCACGACUGAGAUUUAUUUAUUCUGCUGCUUGAAAUUCUUCAAACUGGGACAAAAUCCCUCUUACAUUUUCUCUUCCUAAGCUUCACUUCCUUUUGCCUUGGACAGACCUCUGAAAGGGUUUCUGGAUUUGUUCUGGUGAUAAAACAUAAUAAAAAUGAGUCAUUUUCUCCUGG
This is a long non-coding RNA of Erinaceus europaeus (western European hedgehog), 4330 nucleotides long. RefSeq lists it as uncharacterized. The record is from RefSeq and is a predicted model, not a curated record. Lineage: Eukaryota; Metazoa; Chordata; Mammalia; Eulipotyphla; Erinaceidae. The transcript is spliced from 2 exons.